AUCACUGCCAAUCUAUCUACCACUGCUAAUCUAUACUGCUGCCAAUCUAUCUAUCACUGCUAAUCUAUUGCUGCUGCCAAUCUAUCUACCGCUGCCAAUCUAUCUAUCACUGCCAAUCUAUCUACCACUGCUAAUCUAUCGCUGCUAAUCUAUCGCUGCUAAUCUAUUGCUGCUAAUCUAUCUAUCACUGCUAAUCUAUCGCUGUCAAUCUAUCUACCGCUGCCAAUCUAUCUACCACUGCCAAUCUACCUACCGCUGCCAACCUAUCUACCACUGCUAAUCUAUCACUGCUAAUCUAUCGCUGCUAAUCUAUUGCUGCUAAUCUAUCGCUGCUAAUCUAUUGCUGCUAAUCUAUCUAUCACUGCUAAUCUAUCGCUGCCAAUCUAUCUACUGCUGUCAACCUACCUACCACUGCUAAUCUAUCACUGCUAAUCUAUCACUGCCAAUCUAUAUAGGGUAAAUCAUGGUCCCAUUUGGUCCCAUUUUGUAAAAUGAGAUCAAAUGGGACUGAGAUCACUAAUUUAUUAGUAAAACAUGAUCUGGGACUAGAUUUAUAAUAUAAACAGUGUAAAGUGACUAAUUUACUAAACACUAUAUGGAACCAGGACUAAGAUAUCUAAUAAUGGGACUGAGGAAAAAUUUGGUCUCAGUCCCAUGCAUGGUCACACAGCCAGUCUAAUACUGAUAUUUCUUCUGUGUUUUGAGCUUCAUCUGAUAAAGAUUAUACAUUACUAGAAUCUCUUUCAAUAAAAUAUUAUAAAUAAGAAGUUUAUUAUUCUC
RNAcentral lists this small RNA (780 nucleotides) under Histoplasma capsulatum. Its description in RNAcentral is "hypothetical RNA". Lineage: Eukaryota; Fungi; Ascomycota; Eurotiomycetes; Onygenales; Ajellomycetaceae. RNAcentral also lists the same sequence under 1 other name. The record is from RNAcentral.